GUGAUUGCUGGACCCAGACUAACAGGAGAUUAGUCUGUAAAGGGAAGUAUUCUGGAACUGUGAGUCCUUAUUGGAAACAACUGGGAGGUGGGCGGGCCUGCCCUGCGCCUCCUAUCCGGAGGAGCUCCCGGACUUGCCAAAGGAUCCCUGGCCGGAUGAAGCCAUGGUCCAGGAUUCCCCCGAGGCCAACACCAGCCCCCAG
Molecule: non-coding RNA, 202 nt
Organism: Chrysemys picta bellii (western painted turtle)
Lineage: Eukaryota; Metazoa; Chordata; Testudines; Emydidae
Source: RefSeq, a predicted model, not a curated record